This 460-nucleotide long non-coding RNA is filed under the name Elaeis guineensis (African oil palm). RNAcentral describes it as "long non-coding RNA (EGUI_LNC055218)". Lineage: Eukaryota; Viridiplantae; Streptophyta; Magnoliopsida; Arecales; Arecaceae. The record is from RNAcentral.
GCGCCGGAUCCCAGGAUCUAUUUAAAUCCGUCCUCCCACCUUUAGGUGCCCUAUUCCGUUCCAGAGUUUCUAUCAGUGUCUGCCUUCUCUUCGAGAGCCCUGUUUCAGUGGGCAUCUUCUCGAGCCGUAGGUGUCUUCCAAAUCGUCCCUGUCUUCGUCCCUCUGGUCCCUCAGAGCGAUAUAGGUUAGUUCCAGCACCUUCAACCUUCUUCCCACCGCCUAGGGACUUCUUCUCUGUCAUUAUUUUUUGCAUCCCUCCAAGUUAGUUUCCUGUGGCCUCUCGUCCCCCAUCCUGUCCGUCUUCUUAGGGACCUUUAAAGCCCUCCUUCGAAACUACCCGAAAUAUUGUCCGGCUCUUCCGCUCCCUGCAGUUCCGGGAGCUCUUCCGCCUCACACCCCCAGGUCCCCUGCUCUGUAGACGAACCUGUGUCUGGGGCUGGGCUCCGCCCGAUUUUUGCAC